GCAGUAGAGAGGGGAAGGAGUAAUAAACCAAAGAAGGUAAAGACAGGAGCACAAAGUGAAAUUUAGUUGAGUGUUAUCAAGCCUUCGUCGGCAGGUAGCUAACCAGAUCUUUGAAUUUGUAAAUAUGUCUAUAUCCAAGGCAAUCUUUAUAAAGCUAUGUUUUAAUAAACUUUUUAUAAAACUCUUAAUUCUGCAUAUAUUUAACACAGGUGAGUAAUUCUUUCAGAAAGCAAAGUACACUUGCUACUCUCUAGUCAACAGACUAAGAAAGAAGACUGUAGUCUUAGAAAUGUACUGGAUUUGCUUAAUUUUCAAAAGACUUUUAAAAUUAGUUGUAUAGCAAAUGGCUUGGGCCUACCCAGGAACUAUUGUUAAGGUCAAACAGUAGAUUUUUGGGUGUAAAGAAGAAUUUAAGUGAAGUGUUGAAAACCAACUGUAAACAUCACCUCCUGCCCACCCCCUCUUGUCAUUAGUCCCACACAGCUCAGCUUUCAAGAAAAGAACAGUUCCAAACUAUGGGCUUUGAUUUAAACAUUACUCGCCAAAAAAUAUUUCCUAAUGUUGUAUGUUUAAACUUCUGUUUUCACGCAAGCUCAGUUUUUCUUAUUCUUCUAUUUGGUUCUUGGUACACGUCUGCUUGCAUGUAUGUUGUUUAGAAAAGGUUAACUUGAAGCUGUCCUUAAGUGAAUUGCAGUGUAUAAUCACCAUAGUGCUGGGAUCAAGUCUUGACAUAACCAAUUCCUGUGAAUUGUCUCACUCCCUAGAGUUAGGCUAGAAGGGACAAUUAAUAGAUCUAUUUUAACCUCCUGUAUGUCACAAGUUAGUAAACUUCACAGCGUUA
This is a long non-coding RNA of Gopherus flavomarginatus (Mexican gopher tortoise), 841 nucleotides long. RefSeq lists it as uncharacterized. The transcript has 2 exons. The record is from RefSeq and is a predicted model, not a curated record. Lineage: Eukaryota; Metazoa; Chordata; Testudines; Testudinidae.